AAGUCGUAACAAGGUUUCCGUAGGUGAACCUGCGGAAGGAUCAUUAACACUUUUGAAAGCAUCCAAUAUCAACAAAUCACAACCAAACGGUCAACUAUCUCCUCCCUAUUUCGCACACCGGAGACGGUACGAGUAGGCUAACAUGUAAAUAACAAGCUCAAGCAAUUGCGCAUGUUAUUUUCAAACACAAGAUAACCCCUUUUAAUUAUAUUAUUCAUUUAAUAUAAACGAACAACUCUUCGAACAAGUCCGAACUAAACUAAAAUAUACAUUCGAUAUAUUUUUAUUUUACGAAAUAAUAUAUAUUUAUAAGAACAACUCUUAGCAAUGGAUAUCUUGGUUCUC
Molecule: unclassified non-coding RNA, 345 nt
Filed under: fungal sp.
Lineage: Eukaryota; Fungi
Description: partial internal transcribed spacer region
Rfam family: Eukaryotic small subunit ribosomal RNA (bases 1-46)
Source: RNAcentral